CCCUUAGAUGUCCUGGGCCGCACGCGCGUUACACUGAUGCAUUCAACGAGCUUAUAACCUUGGCCGAGAGGCCUGGGCAAUCUUGUUAACGUGCAUCGUGAUAGAGAUAGAUUAUUGAAAUUAUUAAUCUUGAACGAGGAAUUCCUAGUAAACGCAGAUCAUCAAUCUGCAUUGAUUACGUCCCUGCCCUUUGUACACACCGCCCGUCGCACCUACCGAUUGAAUGGUCCGGUGAAAUCUUCGGAUUGAGACUUUGAUUUCUUCACGGAAAACGCUGUUUUAAAAAGUUGAUUAAACCUUACCAUUUAGAGGAAGGUGAAGUCGUAACA
RNAcentral lists this ribosomal RNA (329 nucleotides) under uncultured eukaryote. RNAcentral describes it as "partial 18S ribosomal RNA". It matches the Rfam family "Eukaryotic small subunit ribosomal RNA", at positions 1470 to 1796 of the family's 1831-position model. The record is from RNAcentral.